AUUCAUAUCAAAUAAAGCUCUGAAUUUUCUUUUGACAAAAUUGCAAGACUUUUAGGAGCUCUCUGCUAAGCACAUAGGACAAACACCAAACAUUUAUUAUCAUACCACAAAAUCUCAUACCAAUUAGAAGUCAUUCCACAUUUCCCCUUCUCUAGCAAAUACUAAUCUACAUUUUGUUUCUAUAGAUUUGCCUAUUUUGGACACUUCUAACAAAGAGUCAUGUAAUAUGUAGUCUAUAAUAUGUCUAUAAUAUGUAGAAAGCCUGCUUCUUUCAUUUAGUAUAAUGUUUUCAAGGUUCAUCUAUGUUAUAGCACAAUCAGUACUUCAUUCCUCUUUUUGGCAAAAUAUUCCUUAGUAUGGAUAUAACACAUUUUGUUUACCCAACUGUCAGUUGAUAAAUAUUUGGACUGUGUCCACCUUUUCGUUAUUAAAAGAAAUGCUACUUGAAUAUGAGUGUAAAAUUUUGAUGAAAUUAAUAUGUAUAUUUUUCCUUUACACUUGUGCUUUUAGUAUCAAACCCAGGAAACAAUUAUCUAAUCCAAGGUCUCAAAUGUUUAGUCUAUGUUUUCUUCUAACAAUUUCAUAGUUUGAGGUCUUAUAUCUAGGUCUUUGACCCAUUUUGAGUUAAAUUUUUGUAUAUAAUGUGAGGUAAGGGUCCAACUUUUUUUUUAUGCAUAUAGAUUUCCAGUUGUCCCAGCACAAAUCUGGACUCAUUGAUCUUAUAUCAAUCUUCAUAUAGUCUCACACUGUUUUGACUACUAUUACUUUGACGUAAAUUUUGAAGUUAAGAAGUGUCUCUGCUCUUUGUUCUUUUCCAACAUUGUUUCACUAUUCUGGGCCCCUUUUCUUUCCAUAUAAAUUAAAGGAUUAUCCUGUCAAUUUUACAAAAAAAAAAAAAGUCAUUUUGGAUUUAAAAGGGAUUACAUCAAUUCUCGAUCAAUUUAGAAAGGAUUUCCAUCUUAACAAUAUUAAGUCUUCUAAUCCAUGUAUUUCUAUUAUUUAGGUCUUUUUUCAUUUUUUCAAUGAUGUUUUAUAGUCUUCAAUGUAUAAGUCGCACACUUAUUUAUUCCUAAAUGUUUUAUCUUUUUUAUGUUACAAUAAACAAAAAUGUCUUAAUUUCAUUUUUGGAUUAUUCAUUGCUAAGUGAACAGAGUUUUGCAUAUUGAUUUUGUAUACUACAACCUUGCUGAACUCAUUUAUUCCGAUAUUCUGAUAUUUGUACGUGUUUGCACUCCUUAGGAUUUUCUAUAUACAACAUUGUCAUCUGUGAAUAUAGGUAAUUUUAUUACUUCCUUUCCAAUCUGGAUGACUUAUAUAUUUUUUUUUUUUUAUCUAAUUGUCCUAGUUUGUUCCUUUAGUACAAUGGUGAAUAGAAAUUAUUAGAGUGGACAUCACUAUCUUAUUCCUAAUCUUAGGAGUAAAAUUACCAGUCUUUUACCAUUAAGUGAAUGUUAGCCUUGUAUUUUUCAUAGAUGUCCUUUAUAAAAUUGAAGAUAUUUCCUGUAUUUCUACUAUGUUGAGUAUUUUUAUCAUGAAAGUGUGCUUGAUUUUCUUCAAAUGCUUUUUCUGUAUCUUCUGAGGUGAUCACAGGUCUUUAUGUUUAUUUUGAGUAUAAUAUGGUUUAUUAUACUGAUUGGUGAAUCAGCCUUGCAUUCCUGAAAUAAACUCCACUUAAUCACAGUGUAUAAUCUUUUUUAUAUGUCUGCUUAACCAUGUUAUUGAGGAAUUUUGGGCUUCACAUCCACAAAGUUAUCAGUCUGUAGUUUUCUUUUCUUGCAACAUCUUUAUCUGGUUUUAAUAUCAGAGUAAUAAUGGUUUCAUAAAAUUAUUUGGAAAUCUUUUCUUCCUCUUCUACCAUUUAUAAAAUAAGAGAAAAUGUUUAAAAAAGCUUUACAAGAUUUUACAUAGUUAUUCAAGAUUCAGAUUUUGAGCAGGGGUGGUGGGGUGAGGGGUGGGGAGGAGAUAAUUAUAGAAAAUAUUUGCAGGAGCAUAGACCUCUACAUUUGGCCAUGGUAUAGAAACUAGCAUUGGACUUAUCCUUCACUAUAAACCAUUACAAAGCUGGGCAAAAUAUAUGAUUUACGCUUUUAUAAACUGAACAGCCAGUAGUAAAAAGAGAAGCAUAUCAGGGAAGCUUUGGGUUUUUUCUAUACCAUAGUGCAGUGAGGAAGAGCUGCAGUAGAAAGUAUAAGCCUCAUUGAGCUGACAAGGCAAAAAUUGGAGGUUGAGUUAUUGAAGCAACUGGAAUUUAUGGGACAGGAUUCUUGGAGGAGAGAGUUGUGAUGAGGAGGUUACACAGAAAUAUAAAUAGGAGUUCCCUUGGUGUUUGGCCA
This 2333-nucleotide long non-coding RNA is filed under the name Canis lupus familiaris (dog). RNAcentral's name for it is "lncRNA (ENSCAFG00000050965.1)". Lineage: Eukaryota; Metazoa; Chordata; Mammalia; Carnivora; Canidae. The record is from RNAcentral.